AACCCAUGGUGAGGGUACCUUCUCAGUAAGUCCUUGUAUCUGUUCCAUACAUCAUAGAGGGUUUCUAAAUUCAUCUACAUAAAAGAAGAGAUAUCAUUGCGUAAUUU
This is a non-coding RNA of Gossypium hirsutum (cotton), 107 nucleotides long. The record is from Rfam. Lineage: Eukaryota; Viridiplantae; Streptophyta; Magnoliopsida; Malvales; Malvaceae.